Hordeum vulgare subsp. vulgare (domesticated barley) is the source of this 120-nucleotide non-coding RNA. Lineage: Eukaryota; Viridiplantae; Streptophyta; Magnoliopsida; Poales; Poaceae. The record is from Rfam.
AGAAUACUCCCUACGUCCGGAAAUACUUGUCCUAGGAAUUGAUGAAUCUAGACUUAUUUUAGUUAUAGAUCCAAUAUAUCCAUUUUUAGGACAAGUAUUUCCGGACGGAGGGAGUAUAAC